GCCAGACUCCUACGGGAGGCAGCAGUGGGGAAUAUUGCACAAUGGGGGAAACCCUGAUGCAGCGACGCCGCGUGAGCGAAGAAGUAUUUCGGUAUGUAAAGCUCUAUCAGCAGGGAAGAAAAAAAUGACGGUACCUGAGUAAGAAGCACCAGCUAAAUACGUGCCAGCAGCCGCGGUAAUACGUAUGGUGCAAGCGUUAUCCGGAUUUACUGGGUGUAAAGGGAGCGUAGGCGGCGCGUUAAGUCUGAUGUGAAAACCCGAGGCUCAACCACGGGAGUGCAUUGGAAACUGGCGGGCUGGAGUGCCGGAGAGGUAAGCGGAAUUCCUAGUGUAGCGGUGAAAUGCGUAGAUAUUAGGAGGAACACCAGUGGCGAAGGCGGCUUACUGGACGGCAACUGACGCUGGGGCUCGAAAGCGUGGGGAGCAAACAGGAUUAGAUACCCGCGUACCA
RNAcentral lists this ribosomal RNA (451 nucleotides) under uncultured bacterium. RNAcentral describes it as "bacterial SSU rRNA". It matches the Rfam family "Bacterial small subunit ribosomal RNA", at positions 330 to 797 of the family's 1533-position model. The record is from RNAcentral.